Molecule: long non-coding RNA, 795 nt
Filed under: Carica papaya (papaya)
Lineage: Eukaryota; Viridiplantae; Streptophyta; Magnoliopsida; Brassicales; Caricaceae
Description: long non-coding RNA (CPAP_LNC008779)
Source: RNAcentral
AGAUUACAACUAAUUUAAUUAAUUAAUGACUAAUUACAAUUAACGAACUAAUCACAAUUAAUUCCUCUGAUGGAGAUUGCAUGAAUCCUAAAAGUAAACUUAGUGGAAAUAUAGCAUCUGUAUUGGUGACUUUCAGAUAAAGCAAGCUUCCUCCCUCAGCAUCUGUAGCACCAGCAUCUAUCCUUGCUGCCUCGUCAUUCUUCCUCAGAAAAACUCAAACUUUGAACAAUCAAAAUCAACAAAAAUAAAUGAAAACGUAUAUAUAUAUAUAUAUAUUUCCUUACAUAAGACAUAGAGUUCCAAGUUAAAUUUGAAAAUUUUUGAUAUCCCAAAAUGCACUUUCAAAUAUCAUUAAGCAACUUCAACAGAGAGAAUUGAUCCACCCAAACCCUUAUUAUCCAUACGUAAAUGAUAUAAAGGUUUAUAUGCCACUUGUCACAGAUUAUCCUUAACUGCAUCUAAAUUUGAGCGGAGUAAUUUAAUUAAAGGUGUAUAUAAUAAAUGCUGGUACUAUAAAUGGAAAAAAAUUAAAAAGAAUUAAAUAACACGAAAUGCAGUCGGAAAUUAUGGCUAGCAACGAGACAAAAAAAGAGACUUUUGGAUGCAUAUAUAAAUUCCUUUAGCAGGAGGAAAAGGUUACGUCUCUGUUCUUGUUGCUCAUUUGAACAUUUUUAUUCGUAGCAACGCCAUUGAAAAUGUUGGUGACUUACAAUCUUAAGGCCUUUGCUUUUGCCGUGACUGUAAUCAUGACGGCGAGCCUCUUAAGAUGUGUUUCAGUGGUGGGUCAACUUCGAG